CACUGAAAUUAUCUGCUCUCUUGUUUAGUUGUUUCAUAUACGGCAAAUUAAGGCCGUCAGGUUUUAAAGCAAUUAUAAAAUGAAUAUUUAAAUAAUUACAACAAACUUACCUUCGUUAACGUAGGCUCCCUUCUUUUAGCCGAUUCUUUCCCCCUUUCUUUCUGAGAAUGCGUUUGAAAUUUACAAAAUCUUUCAAAAAUGUGAGAUCAGUGAGGAUGACCACACACCCAACACUCGAACACCCACGCCCACGAUCAUUGAUGAACUUUAGACUUCGCUAAUGCUUUCGUUUCCCCGGGUGUAAAUAGCCGGGGGGAAUUAAUACCCUCGCACGGCGCUACCCGUCGUCGGCUUGGGGAUUACUUGUCGCGGUAUAUUUAAGUACGUUUUAGUCCAGUGGGUCCGCAGUAAUUGGCUAUAGCGCUUUGCGGACUCCCUGUCUUUAAUUUUAAAGUUAUUUUAAG
Non-coding RNA from Paramuricea clavata, 464 nucleotides. Lineage: Eukaryota; Metazoa; Cnidaria; Anthozoa; Malacalcyonacea; Plexauridae. The record is from the annotation of a GenBank genome assembly.